ACACCCGUGAAAACGCCCUUUUACCCCCAUAGGAUUAAGGAGCUGAUAUCAGGCGUUUUAAUAAACCCAAAACAUCUAGCCACGCCACGCCCCCAAGGGUACUCAGCAGUGAUUAAUAUUAAAUAUUAACGUCAGUUUGAUUUAGUUAAUGAAAACAGGGCCGGCCAACCUGGUGCCAGCCGCCGCGGUUAAACCAUGCGGCCCAAAUUGAUCCCCACCGGCGUAAAGCGUGAUUAAAGACCUACCACAAUGAGGUUAAACCCGAACUAAGCUGUAAAAUGCUUGUUAAAGUAAGCCCGAACCCGAAAGAUACCUCAUCUACUUUCUUGAAUUCACGAUAAUUAGGAUAUAAACUGGGAUUAGAUACCCCACUAUACCUAGUCAUAAACUUUAACUUACACCACAAUCGCCUGGGAACUACGAGCAAAGCUUAAAACCCAAGGGACUUGACGGUACCCCGCAUCCCCCUAGAGGAGCCUGUCCUAUAAUCGAUAACCCCCGUUCAACCUCACCACUUUUAGCCUAUCAGCCUGUAUACUUCCGUCGUCAGCUUACCACAUGAGUGAGAUAAGUAAGCUUAAUAUGCCUCACCCAUCACACGUCAGGUCAAAGUGCAGUAAAUACAGUGGGAAGAGAUGGGCUACACUUUCUACCUUAGAAAAUACGAAAGAUCUUAUGAAAUAGUAUCAGAAGGCGGAUUUAGUAGUAAGGGUGGAAUAGAGUACCCCCCUUAAUUCGGCACCGAGGUGUGUACACACCGCCCGUCACCCUCUUCAGUAACCCCCCCCACUUAGUAAAUAACAACCCCCCCCCGUAUUACCUAGAAGAGGCAAGUCGUAACAUGGUAAGUGUACCGGAAGGUGUGCUUGGAAA
RNAcentral lists this non-coding RNA (873 nucleotides) under Pristimantis toftae (Pachitea robber frog). Its description in RNAcentral is "partial 12S ribosomal RNA". It matches the Rfam family "Bacterial small subunit ribosomal RNA", at positions 399 to 1522 of the family's 1533-position model. The record is from RNAcentral. Lineage: Eukaryota; Metazoa; Chordata; Amphibia; Anura; Strabomantidae.